GGGUGAGUAAUGCAUCGGAACGUGCCAUUGAGUGGGGGAUAACGUAGCGAAAGUUGCGCUAAUACCGCAUAUUCUGUGAGCAGGAAAGCAGGGGACCGCAAGGCCUUGCGCUCUUUGGGCGGCCGAUGUCAGAUUAGCUAGUUGGUGAGGUAAAGGCUUACCAAGGCGACGAUCUGUAGCGGGUCUGAGAGGAUGAUCCGCCACACUGGAACUGAGACACGGUCCAGACUCCUACGGGAGGCAGCAGUGGGGAAUUUUGGACAAUGGGGGCAACCCUGAUCCAGCCAUGCCGCGUGAGUGAAGAAGGCCUUCGGGUUGUAAAGCUUUUUCGGCCGGGAAGAAAUCGCAUGGGCCAAUACCCUGUGUGGAUGACGGUACCGGAAUAAGAAGCACCGGCUAACUACGUGCCAGCAGCCGCGGUAAUACGUAGGGUGCGAGCGUUAAUCGGAAUUACUGGGCGUAAAGCGUGCGCAGGCGGUUUUGUAAGACAGGCGUGAAAUCCCCGGGCUUAACCUGGGAACUGCGUUUGUGACUGCAAGGCUAGGGUACGGCAGAGGGGGGUGGAAUUCCGCGUGUAGCAGUGAAAUGCGUAGAGAUGUGGAGGAACACCAAUGGCGAAGGCAGCCCCCUGGGUCGAUACUGACGCUCAUGCACGAAAGCGUGGGUAGCAAACAGGAUUAGAUACCCUGGUAGUCCACGCCCUAAACUAUGUCAACUAGGUGUUGGGUGGGUAAAACCAUUUAGUACCGUAGCUAACGCGUGAAGUUGACCGCCUGGGGAGUACGGCCGCAAGGUUAAAACUCAAAGGAAUUGACGGGGACCCGCACAAGCGGUGGAUGAUGUGGAUUAAUUCGAUGCAACGCGAAAAACCUUACCUACCCUUGACAUGCCAGGAACUUGCCAGAGAUGGCUUGGUGCCCGAAAGGGAGCCUGGACACAGGUGCUGCAUGGCUGUCGUCAGCUCGUGUCGUGAGAUGUUGGGUUAAGUCCCGCAACGAGCGCAACCCUUGUCGUUAAUUGCCAUCAUUUAGUUGGGCACUUCAACGAGACUGCCGGUGACAAACCGGAGGAAGGUGGGGAUGACGUCAAGUCCUCAUGGCCCUUAUGGGUAGGGCUUCACACGUCAUACAAUGGUCGGUACAAAGGGUUGCCAAGCCGCGAGGCGGAGCCAAUCCCAGAAAGCCGAUCGUAGUCCGGAUUGCAGGCUGCAACUCGCCUGCAUGAAGUCGGAAUCGCUAGUAAUCGUGGAUCAGCAUGUCACGGUGAAUACGUUCCCGGGUCUUGUACACACCGCCCGUCACACCAUGGGAGCGGGUUCCGCCAGAAGUAGGUAGCCUAACCGCAAGGGGGGCGCUUACCACGGCG
RNAcentral lists this ribosomal RNA (1365 nucleotides) under metagenome. RNAcentral's name for it is "bacterial SSU rRNA". It matches the Rfam family "Bacterial small subunit ribosomal RNA", at positions 104 to 1464 of the family's 1533-position model. The record is from RNAcentral.